AUGGCUUGCCAUCUUAGAUCAGUUAGUUUGCCUUCUAGGCCUCACACCAAGGUCGAAGAGGAGCUGCACAGCCUAGAGGCAAGCAUCUCUUCACCCUCCAUGACCAUCGAGACAAUCUCUGAUGGUCUGAGGAGGCUUGGAGACAUCUACAGCACCAUUGAAGAGAUCAUGUGCCUUCCUAGCAACCAAAUUUGCUCUUCACAGCAAAGGAAGAUGCUGGAAGGUGAAACCGAGUGCUCCCUUGAGCUACUAGAUCUCUGCAAUGCUAUGCAUGAGGACUUCACCGAGUUGAAGGCCAUUAUCCAAGAUCUGCAAGUGGCGAGCAGAAAAGGAGAUGACGCUGCUGUUCAAAUCAAGAUCCAGUCUUACACCCGCCUGGUGAAGAAGGCGAAGAAACAUUUCAAGAAAGCCGCGAAGAAGGUUACAUCUGACAAGGAGGACUGCAGAAUGGUCAGGCUGUUGAGCGAGGCUAGGGAGAUCACCACCUCUCUCCUCGAGUCAACAGUACACCUCUUGUCCAACAAAUCGCAGUGCCAAAAUGGUCUCUUGUCUCCAAGGCAUUCCAGAAGAAGAACUCGGUUGUUUGCAAGGACGAACAGUUGCAGGUCCUAG
Molecule: ribosomal RNA, 612 nt
Filed under: Triticum aestivum (bread wheat)
Lineage: Eukaryota; Viridiplantae; Streptophyta; Magnoliopsida; Poales; Poaceae
Description: partial small subunit ribosomal RNA
Source: RNAcentral